GCCGAAUAGAUAGCACAUUGAUAAUAGGUGAAUUAUUUUCAACUUAGCUUAUAUUUAUACUAUCUUUGGGAUAGCGUUUGAUAUACACAUAGCUUUUGGGGUGUAUAUCAGGUGAUUGCCCUUUGGGAUAGCUCUACAUAUGUGUAUGACUAGUAUUUUUAUUACUCUCAGGUUAUUUUUGUGUCAUUAUAGAGCCCAAAAUGCCAGCAUUGCUCUCUAGCUGCCAGAGUUUAUUAUAGCACAUGAGAUGUCAGCAUUAUCUACAUGCAGUAUAUUACAUGUGUAUAGGGAUAUUACGGAUUUAAUGAUAUCUCAGCAACUUUAUUUCAGCAAUAGUUUUACAGCAUAAAUAUUUAUUUUAGCUCAAUUAUGUGAUUUUGAUUAAUUAAUAUUUAUUCAGCUGACUUAUU
RNAcentral lists this unclassified non-coding RNA (410 nucleotides) under Hevea brasiliensis (rubber tree). Lineage: Eukaryota; Viridiplantae; Streptophyta; Magnoliopsida; Malpighiales; Euphorbiaceae. The record is from RNAcentral.